GACAGAGGUCCCGAGCGUUAGGCGGAAUCACUGGGCUUAAAGCGUGUGUAGGCGGAUCGUUAAGUACCUUGUGAAAUCCCACGGCUUAACCGUGGAACUGCUUGGUAUACUGGCGAUCUUGAGCCACUUAGGGGCUACCGGAACAAAUGGUGGAGCGGUGAAAUGCGUAGAUAUCAUUUGGAACGCCAAUGGUGAAAACAGGUAGCUGGGAGUGUGCUGACGCUGAGACACGAAAGCCAGGGUAGCAAACGGG
Molecule: ribosomal RNA, 253 nt
Filed under: uncultured bacterium
Lineage: Bacteria
Description: partial 16S ribosomal RNA
Rfam family: Bacterial small subunit ribosomal RNA
Source: RNAcentral